CAGUCGCCGCGGGAAUACAGAGGAUGCAAGCGUUAUCCGGAAUGAUUGGGCGUAAAGCGACUGUAGGUGGCUUUUCAAGUCCGCCGUCAAAUCCCAGGGCUCAACCCUGGACAGGUGGUGGAAACUACCAAGCUGGAGUACGGUAGGGGCAGAGGGAAUUUCCAGUGGAGUGGUGAAAUGCGUUGAGAUCGGAAAGAACACCAACAGCGAAAGCACUCUGCUGGGCCGACACUGACACUGAGAGACGAAAGCUAGGGGAGCAAAUGGGAUUAGAUACCCCUGUAGUCCCUGUCUCUUAUAC
This 301-nucleotide ribosomal RNA is filed under the name uncultured bacterium. RNAcentral describes it as "partial 16S ribosomal RNA". It matches the Rfam family "Bacterial small subunit ribosomal RNA", at positions 509 to 807 of the family's 1533-position model. The record is from RNAcentral.